CGGCAGAUCUUACGCAGCCCCAUUAUUAUCUGACAGGCUGUAUCCACGGCCAUGAUUCUGCCCCACUCACCGCGGCAGAUCUUACGCGAUCCCAUUAUUCUCUGACAGGUCGUAUCAACGGCCAUAAUCCUACUCCACUACCUGCGGCGAGCGCUGCGUGACUCCGCUGCCUAUGACAAGCACCACGUGGCACACUCCAGCAAUGGCCACGAGUCUACUCCACUACUCUUCGCAGUAAAUCUUGCUUGACUCUUGACAGCCCACGAUCAGGCGGUUACAAAAGUCGCCAUCCAUCCGUCACCUCCUCCGCCUAUAAAAGGGAGGACCCAGAUACGUUAUUCUAUAAGC
Molecule: long non-coding RNA, 348 nt
Filed under: Elaeis guineensis (African oil palm)
Lineage: Eukaryota; Viridiplantae; Streptophyta; Magnoliopsida; Arecales; Arecaceae
Description: long non-coding RNA (EGUI_LNC048976)
Source: RNAcentral